GUAUAGGAGGUCCAGCCUGCCCAGUGACUACGGGUUUAACGGCCGCGGUAUAUUGACCGUGCAAAGGUAGCGCAAUCACUUGUCUUUUAAAUAGAGACCUGUAUGAAUGGCUAGACGAGGGCUUAACUGUCUCCCCCCUCCAGUCAGUGAAAUUGAUCUAUCCGUGCAGAAGCGGGUAUAACACUACAAGACGAGAAGACCCUUUGGAGCUUAAGGUACAAAAUCCAGCCACGUUAAACAACUUCAUAAAAAGCAGGAACUUACUGGCCAUGGAAUUUUACCUUCGGUUGGGGCGACCACGGAGGAAAAGCAAGCCUCCGAGUGGACUGGGACAAACCCCUAAAGCUAAAAAAGACAUUUUUAAGCCGCAGAACAUCUGACCAAUAAUGAUCCGGCUAAUGAGGCCGAUCAACGAACCAAGUUACCCUAGGGAUAACAGCGCAAUCCUCUCCCAGAGCCCAUAUCGACGAGGGGGUUUACGACCUCGAUGUUGGAUCAGGACAUCCUGAUGGUGCAGCCGCUAUUAAGGGUUCGUUUG
Molecule: ribosomal RNA, 538 nt
Filed under: Hybopsis lineapunctata (lined chub)
Lineage: Eukaryota; Metazoa; Chordata; Actinopteri; Cypriniformes; Leuciscidae
Description: partial 16S ribosomal RNA
Rfam family: Bacterial large subunit ribosomal RNA
Source: RNAcentral